RNAcentral lists this ribosomal RNA (467 nucleotides) under uncultured bacterium. RNAcentral describes it as "partial 16S ribosomal RNA". It matches the Rfam family "Bacterial small subunit ribosomal RNA", at positions 28 to 506 of the family's 1533-position model. The record is from RNAcentral.
GACGAACGCUGGCGGCGUGCUUAACACAUGCAAGUCGAACGGAAAGGCCCUGCUUUUGUGGGGUGCUCGAGUGGCGAACGGGUGAGUAACACGUGAGUAACCUGCCCUUGACUUUGGGAUAACUUCAGGAAACUGGGGCUAAUACCGGAUAGGAGCUCCUGCUGCAUGGUGGGGGUUGGAAAGUUUCGGCGGUUAGGGAUGGACUCGCGGCUUAUCAGCUUGUUGGUGGGGUAGUGGCUUACCAAGGCUUUGACGGGUAGCCGGCCUGAGAGGGUGACCGGCCACAUUGGGACUGAGAUACGGCCCAGACUCCUACGGGAGGCAGCAGUGGGGAAUAUUGCACAAUGGGCGGAAGCCUGAUGCAGCAACGCCGCGUGCGGGAUGACGGCCUUCGGGCUGUAAACCGCUUUCGCCUGUGACGAAGCGUGAGGGACGGUAAUGGGUAAAGAAGCACCGGCUAACUACGU